Molecule: transfer RNA, 74 nt
Filed under: Spirochaetia bacterium
Lineage: Bacteria; Pseudomonadati; Spirochaetota; Spirochaetia
Description: tRNA-Pro
Rfam family: tRNA
About the family: Transfer RNA (tRNA) molecules are approximately 80 nucleotides in length.
Source: RNAcentral
CGGGUAUUGGCGCAGUUGGCUAGCGUGUCAGGCUGGGGGUCUGAAGGUCGAGAGUUCAAGUCUCUCAUACCCGA